UACAGAGGGUGCAAGCGUUAAUCGGAAUUACUGGGCGUAAAGCGCGCGUAGGUGGUUGUGUAAGUUGGAUGUGAAAGCCCUGGGCUUAACCUGGGAAUUGCAUCCGAUACUGGGUGACUAGAGUACGGUAGAGGGGGGUGGAAUUCCAGGUGUAGCGGUGAAAUGCGUAGAGAUCUGGAGGAACACCGGUGGCGAAGGCGGCCCCCUGGACUGAUACUGACGCUGAGGUGCGAAAGCGUGGGGAGCAAACAGGAUUAGAAA
This 261-nucleotide ribosomal RNA is filed under the name uncultured bacterium. Its description in RNAcentral is "partial 16S ribosomal RNA". It matches the Rfam family "Bacterial small subunit ribosomal RNA", at positions 524 to 784 of the family's 1533-position model. The record is from RNAcentral.